UGGGGAAUUGUUCGCAAUGGGCGCAAGCCUGACGACGCAACGCCGCGUGGAGGAUGAAGGUCUUCGGAUUGUAAACUCCUGUUGCUCGGGACGAAAAGCUUCGACCUAAUACGUCGAAGUCUGACGGUACCGAGUGAGGAAGCCCCGGCUAACUCUGUGCCAGCAGCCGCGGUAAUACAGAGGGGGCAAGCGUUGUUCGGAAUUACUGGGCGUAAAGGGCGCGUAGGCGGCCUGCUAAGUCGAACGUGAAAUCCCUGGGCUCAACCCAGGAACUGCGUCCGAUACUGGUUGGCUUGAAUCUGGGAGAGGGAUGUGGAAUUCCAGGUGUAGCGGUGAAAUGCGUAGAUAUCUGGAGGAACACCGGUGGCGAAGGCGACAUCCUGGACCGGCAUUGACGCUGAGGCGCGAAAGCCAGGGGAGCAAACGGGAUUAGAUACCCCGGUAGUCCUGGCCCUAAACGAUGAAUGCUUGGUGUGGUGGGUAUCGAUCCCUA
This 493-nucleotide ribosomal RNA is filed under the name uncultured Acidobacteriota bacterium. RNAcentral's name for it is "bacterial SSU rRNA". It matches the Rfam family "Bacterial small subunit ribosomal RNA", at positions 355 to 840 of the family's 1533-position model. Lineage: Bacteria; Pseudomonadati; Acidobacteriota. The record is from RNAcentral.